GGUUAAGCGAAUAAGCGUACACGGUGGAUGCCUAGGCAAUCAGAGGCGAUGAAGGACGUGCUAAUCUGCGAAAAGCGUCGGUAAGGUGAUAUGAACCGUUAUACCCGACGAUAUCCGAAUGGGGAAACCCAGUAUCCAAUGGAUACUAUCAUUAACUGAAUCCAUAGGUUAAUGAGGCGAACCGGGAGAACUGAAACAUCUCAGUACCCCGAGGAAAAGAAAUCAACCGAGAUUCCCCUAGUAGCGGCGAGCGAACGGGGAGCAGCCCAGAGUCUUAAUCAAUAGCAGUGUCAGGAGAACGGUCUGGAAAGUCCGGCAGUAAAGGGUGAUAGCCCCGUAUCUGAAGAUGCUGUUAUUGUGAACUCGACGAGUAGGGCGGGACACGUGUUAUCCUGUCUGAAUAUGGGGGGACCAUCCUCCAAGGCUAAAUACUCCUGAUUGACCGAUAGUGAACCAGUACCGUGAGGGAAAGGCGAAAAGAACCCCGGCGAGGGGAGUGAAAAAGAACCUGAAACCGUGUACGUACAAGCAGUAGGAGCCUCUUUAUGGGGUGACUGCGUACCUUUUGUAUAAUGGGUCAGCGACUUAUAUUCUGUAGCAAGGUUAACCGUAUAGGGGAGCCGUAGGGAAACCGAGUCUUAACUGGGCGAAUGAGUUGCAGGGUAUAGACCCGAAACCCGGUGAUCUAUCCAUGGGCAGGUUGAAGGUUGGGUAACACUAACUGGAGGACCGAACCGACUAAUGUUGAAAAAUUAGCGGAUGACUUGUGGAUGGGGGUGAAAGGCCAAUCAAACCGGGAGAUAGCUGGUUCUCCCCGAAAGCUAUUUAGGUAGCGCCUCGUGAACUCAUCUUCGGGGGUAGAGCACUGUUUCGACUAGGGGGUCAUCCCGACUUACCAACUCGAUGCAAACUGCGAAUACCGAAGAAUGUUAUCACGGGAGACACACGGCGGGUGCUAACGUCCGUCGUGAAGAGGGAAACAACCCAGACCGCCAGCUAAGGUCCCAAAGUCAUGGUUAAGUGGGAAACGAAGUGGGAAGGCUCAGACAGCCAGGAUGUUGGCUUAGAAGCAGCCAUCAUUUAAAGAAAGCGUAAUAGCUCACUGGUCGAGUCGGCCCGCGCGGAAGAUGUAACGGGGCUAAACCAUGCACCGAAGCUGCGGCAGCGA
This 1168-nucleotide ribosomal RNA is filed under the name Acinetobacter baumannii. RNAcentral's name for it is "partial 23S ribosomal RNA". It matches the Rfam family "Bacterial large subunit ribosomal RNA", at positions 1 to 1211 of the family's 2925-position model. The record is from RNAcentral. Lineage: Bacteria; Pseudomonadati; Pseudomonadota; Gammaproteobacteria; Moraxellales; Moraxellaceae. RNAcentral also lists the same sequence under 1 other name.